Molecule: non-coding RNA, 955 nt
Organism: Jatropha curcas
Lineage: Eukaryota; Viridiplantae; Streptophyta; Magnoliopsida; Malpighiales; Euphorbiaceae
Source: RefSeq, a predicted model, not a curated record
UAAUUAAAAUUUAACCUAACAAACUUUAUUUCUCACAUGCAUUCCCUGAAAGGCUGAAACUGCAACUGUAACAGCAACAACCACCACUAGAUUCAGUGACUCUUGAUGAGAAAUUCAAAUAUGCUGCAGACUCAAACGGGAAGAUGAACAAGAAGAGCAGAAAUUUCAGUAUACGAAGCAUCGUACAUUUGUGGGUUCUGAAGAGAGUAGAUGUGUAUAGCUUUUCUGUUACAGUGGUCGGAACCCUGACAUCCGCCUACAAUAUUUUUCAAAAUUUUCUUUAUUAUGAAACUCUCCUUCUAUAGCUCUCUGUAUGUUUGCAUAAAAAUUAAUACAUACUGAAAUACACAGCAGUCAAUUUUAAUGUAAAUCAUCAUAAUCGCAAAUUAAAUAGUCUUCAACAAGAACGGCAGGCGGGUGCAGUCGAAGCCAGAGUAGGUGAGAUAUAUAUGUUUGAAAGCUGGGUUAAGCGUAGCUAUGAUCAUGGGAGGAGUUCAAUUCAUGGAAAGCCAACAUGGUAAAUAUCGUUUCUUUUGAUUUAUCAAAUUUGCGAAAAUUUUUAUGGCCGAAAAGAUUAAAAACUGGAAUCUCCUGCAUUUUAUAUUCUUAUAGAAAAUGAGAAAGUCAAUCACUCUUGUUUUUUGAAUCAGAGAAAUUUUAGAAUUUGAGAUUUUUCUUUUUUAUUAAAAUUUGAGUUUUAUUGAUGAAAGAUUAGAUCUGUUUGAGGAAUUAACAUUCUGAAAUAUGAAAAAUAAAUUAACCAUUCUAUUUUUAUUUUUUAAAACAAAAGGAGAGGAAAUUAACCAUAGUUUAUUAAUUAGUAAUUAAGCAGAGCAGUCUACUAAGGCCUAUAUCCUUUUACAACUAAACUACAGAUGAAAAGACAGAUUAGGGAAUUACAAUUGAAAUAAGUGGGUAGCUUGCUUCUAGAUUAUAACACGCUAAACCUAAUUAU